RNAcentral lists this ribosomal RNA (632 nucleotides) under Bacillus sp. KF-13. RNAcentral's name for it is "bacterial SSU rRNA". It matches the Rfam family "Bacterial small subunit ribosomal RNA", at positions 73 to 688 of the family's 1533-position model. Lineage: Bacteria; Bacillati; Bacillota; Bacilli; Caryophanales; Bacillaceae. The record is from RNAcentral.
UAAGAGCUUGCUCUUAUGAAGUUAGCGGCGGACGGGUGAGUAACACGUGGGUAACCUACCCAUAAGACUGGGAUAACUCCGGGAAACCGGGGCUAAUACCGGAUAAUAUUUUGAACUGCAUAGUUCGAAAUUGAAAGGCGGCUUCGGCUGUCACUUAUGGAUGGACCCGCGUCGCAUUAGCUAGUUGGUGAGGUAACGGCUCACCAAGGCGACGAUGCGUAGCCGACCUGAGAGGGUGAUCGGCCACACUGGGACUGAGACACGGCCCAGACUCCUACGGGAGGCAGCAGUAGGGAAUCUUCCGCAAUGGACGAAAGUCUGACGGAGCAACGCCGCGUGAGUGAUGAAGGCUUUCGGGUCGUAAAACUCUGUUGUUAGGGAAGAACAAGUGCUAGUUGAAUAAGCUGGCACCUUGACGGUACCUAACCAGAAAGCCACGGCUAACUACGUGCCAGCAGCCGCGGUAAUACGUAGGUGGCAAGCGUUAUCCGGAAUUAUUGGGCGUAAAGCGCGCGCAGGUGGUUUCUUAAGUCUGAUGUGAAAGCCCACGGCUCAACCGUGGAGGGUCAUUGGAAACUGGGAGACUUGAGUGCAGAAGAGGAAAGUGGAAUUCCAUGUGUAGCGGUGAAAUG